This is a non-coding RNA of Linepithema humile (Argentine ant), 485 nucleotides long. The record is from RefSeq and is a predicted model, not a curated record. Lineage: Eukaryota; Metazoa; Arthropoda; Insecta; Hymenoptera; Formicidae.
AUCCUUCACGCUGUUCUCUUUUGAUAGACCAUAGUAACAGACGUCUGCCGUGAUUUGCUGGGACAUUCACGACGAGGCUUGUAAAUAUAUCGAACUCGAUUCUCCUUAAGAAAAAAACUUCUAUUACAUUUUGAUCAGUACGUGCAAUAAUUAUUGGUAAUAAAAUUUUCGUAAAAAAAGACAUUAUAUUGAUCAAACGUAACUGCUGGAAAUUUAGUCAAGACAGCAAACAAAAAGAUGAGUUUUAAAAUAAGCUUGUUGUUCGUACUUGCUACCUUCAGCAUUUUUAGGCAUGAGACACUAGCAGUGCGGUGGGGAAAUACGUGGGUGAUACCUGAAAUAUGUUACGAUAAAUUACACCAUGGUGAUCCUAAUUCUUUUUCUUCCAAGAAAAUAGUGAGGUAUUGGUUUAAUGUGACCGAUGGUGAAUGUAAAUUUUUUGAAUACACAGGUUACGGAGGCAAUAAAAAUAAUUUUCCAACUUA